RNAcentral lists this ribosomal RNA (465 nucleotides) under uncultured bacterium. RNAcentral's name for it is "partial 16S ribosomal RNA". It matches the Rfam family "Bacterial small subunit ribosomal RNA", at positions 28 to 507 of the family's 1533-position model. The record is from RNAcentral.
GAUGAACGCUGGCGGCGUGCCUAACACAUGCAAGUCGAGCGGAGAAUUGUUGCUUGCCCCAAUUCUUAGCGGCGGACGGGUGAGUAACACGUGGGUAACCUGCCCUAAACAAAGGGAUAACAAUGAGAAAUCAUUGCUAAUACCGUAUAAGCUUACACUAUCGCAUGAUAGAGUAAGAAAAGAUUUAUCGGUUUAGGAGGGGCCCGCGUCUGAUUAGCUAGUUGGAGAGGUAACAGCUCACCAAGGCGACGAUCAGUAGCCGACCUGAGAGGGUGAUCGGCCACAUUGGGACUGAGACACGGCCCAAACUCCUACGGGAGGCAGCAGUGGGGAAUAUUGCACAAUGGAGGAAACUCUGAUGCAGCAACGCCGCGUGAAGGAAGAAGGUUUUCGGAUCGUAAACUUCUAUCUACAGGGAAGAAAAAAAUGACGGUACCUGAGUAAGAAGCCCCGGCUAACUACGUG